AUUUUUGCAUUUUUCGGCCAAACAACUAGAAUUCCGCGCGAUUCCCAUAUUUUUGUGUGUUAUAGCCCACACCUUCCGAGAGGUCCCGGGACCUCAGGACCCCUAUCGCCUAAAAUUUUUCCGGACUAUCAAAUACGACCUAAGAUACCAUAGUCACCGCCCCACCAUGAUCGUUCCAAAUGCUUUGCAUUUUUCGGCCAAAAAACUAGAACUCCGCGCGAUUUGCAUAUUUUAGUGUGCUAUAGCUUACGCCUUCCGAGUGGUCCCGGGAGCCGUGGACCCCGAUCGCCUAAAAUUUGCCGGGCCAUCAAAUACGACCUAAGGAACCAUAGUCACUGCCUCGCCAUGAUCGUUCCUCAUUAAUUGCGUUUUUCGGCCAAAAAACUAGAAUUCCGCUCAAUUACAAUAUUUUUGUGUGCUAUUGCCCACGUCUUCCCAGUGGGCCAGGCCGCCGGACUCGGAUCGCCUAAAACUUUUUCGGGCCAUCAAUGUGGACCUAAGGAACCAUAGUCACCGCCUCGCCAUGAUCGUU
RNAcentral lists this long non-coding RNA (532 nucleotides) under Nicotiana tabacum (common tobacco). RNAcentral describes it as "long non-coding RNA (NTAB_LNC008033)". The record is from RNAcentral. Lineage: Eukaryota; Viridiplantae; Streptophyta; Magnoliopsida; Solanales; Solanaceae.